This is a long non-coding RNA of Harmonia axyridis, 700 nucleotides long. RefSeq lists it as uncharacterized. The record is from RefSeq and is a predicted model, not a curated record. Lineage: Eukaryota; Metazoa; Arthropoda; Insecta; Coleoptera; Coccinellidae. The transcript has 4 exons.
UUAUUUGAUGAAUAGAAGUAAAUAGACAAAUUCGUUUUUAUUAUUUACUGAUUAGUUUGGAAUUCGAAGUGGAGUAAAUAUUUCUAACGAAAAGCUGUUAAUAUAUUCAUUUUCAGGAGAAGAAGAAGUUCUAUUAUGCAUCAAGACUAGAAAUUGCUGAAAAUCUUGAAGAUAUUAAGAUGGUGUUUAACCUACUUCUGAUCAAUGAUGAGAGACUACUUAUGAAUGUAGGCCUCAAUGCAAGUGAUCUGAGUCUGAGAUACAGAAAUCUGGAGAGGCAUGCUAUGGAUCACCAUAUUAUAUACUACGCUUCACUUUGAGUUCAUCCACACCUCUGAGCACCUGAUGAACGAAAUGUACAAAAACGAUGAGGCAAUUUUGGGAUUUGAGCGAUGGAAUACAUAUUGUGACAUGGUUGAUGUCUAGCAAUAAGCUACUGGACGGUAUGGUUAAUUGUAUGGCUUCAUUGAUUUCGAUUGGAACUGAAGAAAAAUAAGAUGGGGAAAUAGAAAUCUUUCCACUUGAAAUCGGAAGAGAAAGAAAUCAAAAUCCAUUUGAUGCUACCAGAAAAUUCCCAAAAGGGUAUUACUUCUGGAACGCCAUCUUCAACAUCGAAGAGCACAACUGGAAACAUGAAGGUAGGAACUCUCAAACAAUUGUUUCUUGGUUUAUUUGAUAUAAUUGUAAAUCAUCCUCGUUU